GGCUAGGGAUGCGGGGCUCUGGACCCCGUGGCCCGGGUUCGAAUCCCGGCCGGGCUA
This 57-nucleotide transfer RNA is filed under the name Pyrobaculum aerophilum str. IM2. It matches the Rfam family "tRNA", at positions 15 to 71 of the family's 71-position model. From Rfam's summary of the family: Transfer RNA (tRNA) molecules are approximately 80 nucleotides in length. The record is from Rfam by way of RNAcentral. Lineage: Archaea; Thermoproteati; Thermoproteota; Thermoprotei; Thermoproteales; Thermoproteaceae.